GACGAACGCUGGCGGCGUGCUUAACACAUGCAAGUCGAACGGAAAGGCCCUGCUUUUGUGGGGUGCUCGAGUGGCGAACGGGUGAGUAACACGUGAGUAACCUGCCCUUGACUUUGGGAUAACUUCAGGAAACUGGGGCUAAUACCGGAUAGGAGCUCCUGCUGCAUGGUGGGGGUUGGAAAGUUUCGGCGGUUGGGGAUGGACUCGCGGCUUAUCAGCUUGUUGGUGGGGUAGUGGCUUACCAAGGCUUUGACGGGUAGCCGGCCUGAGAGGGUGGCCGGCCACAUUGGGACUGAGAUACGGCCCAGACUCCUACGGGAGGCAGCAGUGGGGAAUAUUGCACAAUGGGCGGAAGACUGAUGCAGCAACGCCGCGUGCGGGAUGACGGCCUUCGGGUUGUAAACCGCUUUCGCCUGUGACGAAGCGUGAGUGACGGUAAUGGGUAAAGAAGCACCGGCUAACUACGUG
Molecule: ribosomal RNA, 468 nt
Filed under: uncultured bacterium
Lineage: Bacteria
Description: partial 16S ribosomal RNA
Rfam family: Bacterial small subunit ribosomal RNA
Source: RNAcentral